GGCUUUGCUUCUGGAGAGAACAGGCAUGCCCAUGGGUGUCUCGAAUUCCUGCCAUUACGGCGCCUCUGUCUGGGGUAAAGGAUGAUGUGCUGGUGUGGAACCAGGAAGUGGUAACUCCUUGAACCUCAUCACUCCUUCACACCUUCCGUGUGACUCAUUUUGAUGAAAUUCAACGAACUCCGAGCACCUGCUCACGGAGUAGAGUCUUUUUUAGCUAGAAAGCUCCACAGCUCCCCUCCCCCAAGAUUCGGGAACCCAGGCCGUGAAGAGGCUCAGCAGAGUGACCAGUGGACCUCAGGGGACAGUGCCCCUUCCCGGCCACCCCUGACUGUGCCAGUGCCCUCAUCCCUUUGCUGGGUGCAGUGGGGACUGGCUUUCCAGGGGCUCACAGCCCUUCACCUCUAGUCCUACCAAGUGUCUACAUGGAUCCAAGAAGCUACACUGGCCAGUAGAAUCAGAGGAAUAAUAGUUUUAUGGACACCUGAGACUGAUGGAGAGGAAGAGGGGCCC
This 510-nucleotide long non-coding RNA is filed under the name Equus asinus (donkey). Its description in RNAcentral is "lncRNA (ENSEASG00005036249.1, ENSEASG00020026171.1)". Lineage: Eukaryota; Metazoa; Chordata; Mammalia; Perissodactyla; Equidae. The record is from RNAcentral.